GUAGCGGUAUCCGAAAAGCUAUAAAGAGUAGGAA
RNAcentral lists this non-coding RNA (34 nucleotides) under unclassified sequences. Its description in RNAcentral is "DUF805b RNA". It matches the Rfam family "DUF805b RNA". From Rfam's summary of the family: Bacteroidetes, Chlorobi (1 example), Proteobacteria. Lineage (Flavobacteria) The record is from RNAcentral.